This 1347-nucleotide ribosomal RNA is filed under the name Triticum aestivum (bread wheat). RNAcentral describes it as "partial small subunit ribosomal RNA". The record is from RNAcentral. Lineage: Eukaryota; Viridiplantae; Streptophyta; Magnoliopsida; Poales; Poaceae.
CUCCCCUCUCGCGCGCCUCCUCUCCCUAUCUCUCUCUCGUUCCCCUCCCCUCCCGCGCGCCUCCUCUCCCGCUCGCCCUCGCGCCGCCGCCUCCGCUCGCGCUCGCGCCGCCGCCUCUGCUGAGAGGACCUGGCGGUCGCCUCUCCCACUCGCUCCUCUCCCUCUCCUCUUUCUCCUGCUCGCCUCUCACCUGAUCCCUAGCCCGCCGCCCGCCUCCCUGCCGCGCCGCCGCCCGCUGCUGCCGCCGCCCGCCGCCGUCUCGUCUGAACCGGCAAGACGCCAAACCCAGUGCCCCCUCUCGUCCUCGGCCAUCCAGCCCCCAACCCCACCCCACCCACCUGUCCCCUCCCUCCCAAAUGCCAGAAUCCCCUGCCCGCGCCGACCCAACCAAUCCCGCACCCACGCACCCGCACAUGCGCAGCAGCAGGGCGUCGACGACGAGGACGACGACGACGCGGCGCAACGGAGGGGUGUAGGUCAGCAAAGGGCACAGGCCACUGCUCACGCCGCUGCUGCGCUUGGUGCUCAACAGGAGUAGCUCGUGCUACGUCCGCACCGCCGGAGAGGACGCCAAGAUGAGCAUGGAGGUGCAUGGGUUGCGCAUUCGGAUGAAGACUCAAUAGGUGGAGCAGCAAGAGGUGCCCCUCCGUAGGGCAGAUUUGUGGCCACACAUCUAUCACCAGCUGGUCCAUAUAGAGGAGGAGAUAAGGGCGUGGGGUGCUCUUCUUGGAAGACAGUUAGCGGAGCGUGGAAUUAUAGUCGCUUGCAUUGAUUAUAGAAAUUUGCCCCAAGGAACAAUAAGUGACAUGGUCAGUGAUGCUUUUGAGGCAUUUUCAUUUAUUUGUGAUACUAUUGCUAGCUAUGGAGGAGAUCCUAAUCAGAACUAUGCGCCGCACUUGAAUAUUUGAUCCUUUUGGGUGGUGAUUCUAUCCAAAGUCGUUGUUGUGACGUCGGUGAGUAACCUCGGGCACCACACUGGGUGCUACCGCCUCCCCACCACUCAUGACGCCAGGCUGUUCUACUUCUUCGAAUUCAGGCGGCACAAGGAGGACCCAGUGGUGAUCUGGCUGACGGGAAGACCCGGCUACUGCAGCGAGCUAGCCCUCUUCUACGAGAAUGGCCCCUUCCACAUAGCAGACAACAUGUCGCUACUCUGGAAUGAGUUUGGUUGGGAUCAUGUAUAUUAUAUAUACCGACAGUUUGCGUACUAAUCAAUCAAUCUGUAUAAUAUUUUCUUAGAGAUUGUUUAGACCCUGUAUAAUCUUCUCUCUGUUUGGAAUUGGAUAUUGGCUACUGCAGGAGUCGAAUCUUAUCUAUGUUGAUCAGCAAACUGGGACUGGGUUCAGC